This is a long non-coding RNA of Zingiber officinale, 204 nucleotides long. RefSeq lists it as uncharacterized. The record is from RefSeq and is a predicted model, not a curated record. The transcript has 3 exons. NCBI's taxonomy places the organism in Eukaryota, Viridiplantae, Streptophyta, Magnoliopsida, Zingiberales, Zingiberaceae.
AGGGUUCUUAUAAGGCCACAUCCUGCAAUUUGGCGCUUAGUUCAUGGAAUGGCUGUUGUGUACCUUGUUGCCCUAACAUUUUUGCUUUUCCAGAAUCGUGAUGAUGCUAGGCAGUUUAUGAAAUAUCUCCAUCCUGCUCUGGGAGUUGAAUUACCUGAAAGAUCAUAUGGAGCUGAUUGCCGUAUUUAUGUCCCAGAGAAUCCA